GGAGUUCGACGGCAGUGAUUAGAGUUUGAUCAUGGCUCAGGAUGAACGCUGGCGGCGUGCUUAACACAUGCAAGUCGAACGAAGCCAAAAGGAAGCUUGCUUUCUUUGAAGCUUAGUGGCGGACGGGUGAGUAACGCGUGAGUAACCUGCCCUUCAGUGGGGAAUAACACAGAGAAAUCUGUGCUAAUACCGCAUAACGUCUUCUUGCCGCAUGACAGGAAGACCAAAGGAUUUAUUCGCUGAAGGAUGGACUCGCGUCCGAUUAGCUAGUUGGUGAGGUAACGGCCCACCAAGGCGACGAUCGGUAGCCGAACUGAGAGGUUGAUCGGCCACAUUGGGACUGAGACACGGCCCAGACUCCUACGGGAGGCAGCAGUGGGGAAUAUUGGGCAAUGGGCGAAAGCCUGACCCAGCAACGCCGCGUGAAGGAAGACGGUCUUCGGAUUGUAAACUUCUUUGAUUGGGGAAGAAACAAAUGACCUACCCAAAGAACAAGUCACGGCUAACUACGUGCCAGCAGCCGCGGUAAUACGUAGGUGACAAGCGUUAUCCGGAUUUACUGGGCGUAAAGGGCGUGUAGGCGGUCUUACAAGUCAGAUGUGAAAUUCCCGGGCUCAACUUGGGCGCUGCAUCUGAAACUGCAAGACUUGAGUGCUGGAGGGGAUAGCGGAAUUCCUAGUGGAGCGGUAAAAUGCGCAGAGAUUAGGAAGAACACCGGUGGCGAAGGCGGCUAUCUGGGACAGUAACUGACGCUGAGGCGCGAAAGCGUGGGGAGCAAACAGGAUUAGAUACCCUGGUAGUCCACGCCGUAACGAUGAAUACUAGUGUAGGGGUAUCGACUCCCUCUGUGCCGCAGUUAACACAAUAAGUAUUCCGCCUGGGGAGUACAGCCGCAAGUUGAACUCAAGGAAUUGACCGGGGCCCGCACAAGCAGUGGAUUAUUGUGGUGUAUUUCGAAGCAACGCGAGAACCUUACACGGCUUGGCAUCCUCUGACAACUCUAGAGAUAGAGCCUCCCUUCUGGCGAGAGACAGUGGUGCAUGGUGUUCGUCAGCUCCGUCUGGAUGAUUUGGUUAGUCAUACAGGCAACCCCACGUCGGUGGCGUAUUGUGGGUUCCGCGACUGACCCGCACACCGAGAAUGGGAAGCCUAUCAUCAUUGCUAGUCUGUCACGUACAUGACUCAAGACUAGCUAGCGAAAUGCACGUUCCAUUCAUUCG
This 1220-nucleotide ribosomal RNA is filed under the name uncultured bacterium. Its description in RNAcentral is "partial 16S ribosomal RNA". It matches the Rfam family "Bacterial small subunit ribosomal RNA", at positions 1 to 1143 of the family's 1533-position model. The record is from RNAcentral.